RNAcentral lists this ribosomal RNA (486 nucleotides) under uncultured bacterium. RNAcentral describes it as "partial 16S ribosomal RNA". It matches the Rfam family "Bacterial small subunit ribosomal RNA", at positions 29 to 507 of the family's 1533-position model. The record is from RNAcentral.
AUUGAACGCUGGCGGCAUGCUUUACACAUGCAAGUCGAGCGGCAGCGCGGGGGCAACCCUGGCGGCGAGCGGCGAACGGGUGAGUAAUGCACCGGAACGUAUCCUCGAGUGGGGGAUAACCCAGCGAAAGUUGGGCUAAUACCGCAUGAGCUCUGAGGAGGAAAGCGGGGGACCUGCGAGGGCCUCGCGCUGGAGGAGCGGCCGAUGUCCGAUUAGCUAGUUGGUGGGGUAAAGGCUUACCAAGGCGACGAUCGGUAGCUGGUCUGAGAGGAUGAUCAGCCACACUGGGACUGAGACACGGCCCAGACUCCUACGGGAGGCAGCAGUGGGGAAUUUUGGACAAUGGGGGCAACCCUGAUCCAGCCAUGCCGCGUGAGUGAAGAAGGCCUUCGGGUUGUAAAGCUCUUUCGGACGGAACGAAAUGGGCGGGACUAAUACUCCUGUCUGAUGACGGUACCGUAAGAAGAAGCACCGGCUAACUACGUG